RNAcentral lists this ribosomal RNA (253 nucleotides) under uncultured bacterium. RNAcentral describes it as "partial 16S ribosomal RNA". It matches the Rfam family "Bacterial small subunit ribosomal RNA", at positions 524 to 776 of the family's 1533-position model. The record is from RNAcentral.
UACGUAGGUGGCAAGCGUUAUCCGGAUUUACUGGGUGUAAAGGGAGCGUAGACGGCGAUGCAAGUCUGAAGUGAAAGGCGGGGGCCCAACCCCCGGACUGCUUUGGAAACUGUAUGGCUGGAGUGCAGGAGAGGUAAGUGGAAUUCCUAGUGUAGCGGUGAAAUGCGUAGAUAUUAGGAGGAACACCAGUGGCGAAGGCGGCUUACUGGACUGUAACUGACGUUGAGGCUCGAAAGCGUGGGGAGCAAACAGG